This 912-nucleotide ribosomal RNA is filed under the name Limosilactobacillus fermentum. Its description in RNAcentral is "bacterial SSU rRNA". It matches the Rfam family "Bacterial small subunit ribosomal RNA", at positions 564 to 1477 of the family's 1533-position model. Lineage: Bacteria; Bacillati; Bacillota; Bacilli; Lactobacillales; Lactobacillaceae. The record is from RNAcentral.
AGAGAGUGCAGGCGGUUUUCUAAGUCUGAUGUGAAAGCUUCGGCUUAACCGGAGAAGUGCAUCGGAAACUGGAUAACUUGAGUGCAGAAGAGGGUAGUGGAACUCCAUGUGUAGCGGUGGAAUGCGUAGAUAUAUGGAAGAACACCAGUGGCGAAGGCGGCUACCUGGUCUGCAACUGACGCUGAGACUCGAAAGCAUGGGUAGCGAACAGGAUUAGAUACCCUGGUAGUCCAUGCCGUAAACGAUGAGUGCUAGGUGUUGGAGGGUUUCCGCCCUUCAGUGCCGGAGCUAACGCAUUAAGCACUCCGCCUGGGGAGUACGACCGCAAGGUUGAAACUCAAAGGAAUUGACGGGGGCCCGCACAAGCGGUGGAGCAUGUGGUUUAAUUCGAAGCUACGCGAAGAACCUUACCAGGUCUUGACAUCUUGCGCCAACCCUAGAGAUAGGGCGUUUCCUUCGGGAACGCAAUGACAGGUGGUGCAUGGUCGUCGUCAGCUCGUGUCGUGAGAUGUUGGGUUAAGUCCCGCAACGAGCGCAACCCUUGUUACUAGUUGCCAGCAUUAAGUUGGGCACUCUAGUGAGACUGCCGGUGACAAACCGGAGGAAGGUGGGGACGACGUCAGAUCAUCAUGCCCCUUAUGACCUGGGCUACACACGUGCUACAAUGGACGGUACAACGAGUCGCGAACUCGCGAGGGCAAGCAAAUCUCUUAAAACCGUUCUCAGUUCGGACUGCAGGCUGCAACUCGCCUGCACGAAGUCGGAAUCGCUAGUAAUCGCGGAUCAGCAUGCCGCGGUGAAUACGUUCCCGGGCCUUGUACACACCGCCCGUCACACCAUGAGAGUUUGUAACACCCAAAGUCGGUAGGGUAUCCUUUUAGGAGCAGGACGCCGCAGGUGAUCAGAGUUUUG